This 924-nucleotide ribosomal RNA is filed under the name uncultured archaeon. RNAcentral describes it as "bacterial SSU rRNA". It matches the Rfam family "Archaeal small subunit ribosomal RNA", at positions 1 to 922 of the family's 1478-position model. The record is from RNAcentral.
ACUAGUGAUUUUCCGGUUGAUCCCGCCGGACCUGACUGCUAUCGGAUUGAUACUAAGCCAUGCGAGUCAUUGUAGUAAUACAAGGCAGACGGCUCAGUAACGCGUAGUCAACCUACCCUGUGGACGGGGAUAACCUCGGGAAACUGAGAAUAAUACCCGAUAGAACAUUAUGCCUGGAAUGGUUUAUGUUUCAAAUAAUUUAUUGCCGUAGGAUGGGACUGCGUCCUAUCAGUUUGUUGGUGAGGUAAUGGCCCACCAAGACUAUUACAGGUACGGGCUCUGAGAGGAGUAGCCCGGAGAUGGGUACUGAGACACGGACCCAGGCCCUAUGGGGCGCAGCAGGCGAGAAAACUAUGCAAUGUGCGAAAGCACGACAAGGUUAAUCCGAGUGGUUUCUGCUAAAGGAACCUUUUGUCAGUCCUAGAAACACUGAUGAAUAAGGGGUGGGCAAGUUCUGGUGUCAGCCGCCGCGGUAAAACCAGCACCUCAAGUGGUCAGGAUGAUUAUUGGGCCUAAAGCAUCCGUAGCCUGCUUUGUAAGUUUUCGGUUAAAUCCAUACGCUCAACGUAUGGGCUGCCGGGAAUACUGCAAAGCUAGGGAGUGGGAGAGGUAGACGGUACUCGGUAGGAAGGGGUAAAAUCCUUUGAUCUAUUGAUGACCACCUGUGGCGAAGGCGGUCUACCAGAACACGUCCGACGGUGAGGGAUGAAAGCUGGGGGAGCAAACCGGAUUAGAUACCCGGGUAGUCCCAGCUGUAAACUAUGCAAACUCAGUGAUGCAUUGGCUUGAUGCCAAUGCAGUGCUGCAGGGAAGCCGUUAAGUUUGCCGCCUGGGAAGUACGUACGCAAGUAUGAAACUUAAAGGAAUUGGCGGGGGAGCACCACAAGGGGUGAAGCCUGCGGUUCAAUUGGAUUCAACGCCGGG